This 71-nucleotide transfer RNA is filed under the name Mus musculus (house mouse). It matches the Rfam family "tRNA". Rfam says of the family: Transfer RNA (tRNA) molecules are approximately 80 nucleotides in length. Their secondary structure includes four short double-helical elements and three loops (D, anti-codon, and T loops). The record is from Rfam by way of RNAcentral. Lineage: Eukaryota; Metazoa; Chordata; Mammalia; Rodentia; Muridae.
AGAGUAGUGGCUCAGUGUGUAGAGUACCUGCUUGGCAAGCAGGAGGACCUGAGUUUGAACCACAGACACUG